UCAAAUAAAUUCUCAUUUCAAUUAUUGAUACAUUAUUUUACAAAAAUGGUGAGGACUACUAAAACGACUUCUAGAACCAUCAUUCCACACCCCGACUAGUACUCGCUACAUUCUCGCCUCCUGAGAAGAAAAAUGGAACAACAAGGAAAAGGGUGAGCUCAACUAGCCCCGUAAAGAAUAUUAUGACUAAGAUAAUAUAAAACAAAUUAUCGUUAGUCUUCAACAGGGAAAAAUCUAAUAGAAUACAAUAGACAACAAGUUUUAAAUCAAUCUUCGCAGCGAAAAUAAUAAUUCAUUAGAAGAGUUAAGUAGAGAAUGCAAACUACUAUCUUCUAUAUAUGAAUUUAAAAGUUCAUCGUCUAUCUUUUAUCCCUGUAACAUCAAUCAAUAUAUAUCUGGAAUCAAAUAUUCAUCUUUGCACUAUAGGCCAAAGAUAUUCAUCAGUUGGUCAUGUUCAUCUAAACACUUGUUCAUCUUUGCACUACGGGCCAAAGAUAUUCAGUUAUAUCAUCAUUUAGGACUGAGGAUGAUGAAAAUAUUUUAAAGAAAACGAAUCCAGUGAAACAAAAGAACAAAUAUUAAGGAUUCGUACUUUAAAUAAUCCAAGUUCAAAAAUACUUCAUAAAUAACCAGAGUGGAGUAAAAUUCAAGAAUGAUCAAAACAUGGAUACAAUCACAGCUAGUAUCCAGAAUAGAUAUUUUGGAUAAAAAGAAGAAAACUUCAUUUUUCGGUAAAUAGUGCACUAUUUGUGAAUAGUGCCGUAUACGUGAAUAGUGCCGUAUACGUGAAUAGUAAUUUCGACACUAAAAGAUAGAAAUUUCACAAAAAAGAUCAUCAUGCUUCGUGAAUAGUACUCGUGAAUAGUAACUCAUGAAUAGUAAUUCGUGAAUAGUAACUCAUGAAUAGUAACCCCGACAUGAAAAAGUUUCAAAUUUGAUAAAAAGUUUCCACCAAUAUUUCGGCAUAAUGAUAUUGAAGAAAUAAUAUCAUUUUAAAAAAAAUAAUAUCCCUUACCUCGUAAAGACAGUAUUUUUAGUUGAAACACCGGAUAUAAGCUAUAACUUGAACUUACACCGUAUAGCAACACUCAAAGUAUUAAAAUACUCACAAGAAUACGCUCGAUAUAUAGAGAGAGAAAUCUGUAGUUUCUGGUGUGAUUUUCAAUUCUAACCUAAGCACCCUAUUUAUAGUAAAAUGCUUAGAACACCGAAGCAGAAAAUUUAAUAUAAUAUUAAUAUAUUAUAUAUAAAUUCCUACGCACACAUUCUAAGAUCUGAACUCAGCCAUCUUGCACAUGCUAAUGAUGCCAACCAAGUAUAAAAAACGUUUUUAUUAUUAAAACUUCCAAAAAUCAAUUAUUCAGGAAUUUCGGAACUUCAAUAAUUCAUAAUAAAUAGCCUUUUUAUCAGAAAAUUCGAAUCUCGCGACUUUUUAUAGGAAAUUUAAUUCUCUACAACUUUGCAGAAGAAAGUUUUUUCAAAUUCCAAACAGAAAUUGACCGAAAUCCACAUACGGACGAUUUUACAGGCUAUAAUCAAAUUUCAGUCAAGAAAUGGGUCCACCAACAUGUUUAACAUGUUUUAAACAACUUUUGCAACAAAAAUACUCUUCCUCCUCAUAUACUCAUAUAUCCCACAUNNNNNNNNNNNNNNNNNNNNNNNNNNNNNNNNNNNNNNNNNNNNNNNNNNNNNNNNNNNNNNNNNNNNNNNNNNNNNNNNNNNNNNNNNNNNNNNNNNNNNNNNNNNNNNNNNNNNNNNNNNNNNNNNNNNNNNNNNNNNNNNNUAGUGCCUUCUUACGUAAGAAUCAAUAAUUGGUGCAAUACCGUGUGCUACUGUGCAACAACGCGUAUUACUGUGUUUUAACCACCGGGUAUUCCAACAGUAUUAACGGUAACAAUUGCGCCGUUAUUUUAUAAACAACUUAUACUUGUCGUUUUCUUCAUCCAAUCGUUUUUCGUUAUGGGGCCCACAAAAGACUGCGCCGUCGUACAAAUAUUCCCCGACAGCAAGAAUAUUCAAUGACCAAACGAAUAUUCCCCGACAACAAUGAAUAUUUUAUAACCACCUGCUUAUUUAAAAUAUUUGCGCAUUUUACCCAUAACUAACCACAUUAAUCAAAUCAACCCUUACUAUUUCAAAAUAAUAAAUAGAGGAAAAUAAAUUUCAUUUAUUAAUAAUUUGGGGUCUUACAUUUGUGUAACUGAUAAUAUUACAAUUUGAUGUUGGGUUAUUGCCUUAACUUUUAUUACACGAUACUAAUUUUUUUUGCGCUAUUAUUAUGCCUGCCUCGUGAAAUGACCUCAUAUAAAAAUGUAAAGCCGCUCUAUCUAUGUUUCGGAGUAUGACUGAAUAGACUGGUAGAAGUUUAGAGUUGCUUUAUCAUCAGAAACUUAACUUACCUUCUAAUGUGUGUUAUAGUACAUGCUGGUGACACCCAUAUUCGUGCUAAUUUAGAACAUCUGUUAUGAUUAUGGCACUUUAGUCUUGGUUGAAAAAAGCUUAUAUUGAUUAGCAACAUUUAAAUUAGUACUAAUAUAUACUGGUGUUUGGGCAUUUGUUUGUUGCCUAGAUAAGAGUGUGGUGCCGCGGGUGAGAAUUUUUUACCAAUUGAAGAAGUGAACAAAUGUGAAGCUUCAAUAAUCAUGUUUCUCGAUCCCACUGAUAGCUUACAGUACUUUUUUUAUACUUUUGCCGUGACUAUGAUAAAGGAAGAAGAAAAAAUCUUGAUACACCAAGGUAUAAAGAUGUCUGCUACAGAUCCCUUAGCCUUCUUUGUAGUUCAAUUAACUUCUGCAUGCUCUACCUGAAGGGUAAUAACGGCUGAAAAUCGCCUAUAUGAGUUAAAAAGUUAAUAAUUCUCGGUGAUUGUAUGAAUAUGUGAAGGUUUAUAGGGUUAGUAUAUAAUUUUGUACUCUACUAAUUUGAUGAAUAAUAUGUUGCAGAUGGGCCGUGUUGACGGGUUUGCUCCACAGAGUAACAAGAAAGACGCCACCUUCACUUGGACCGAUGUGCUUGAGAGAAAUUCCAAAUCAUCUUCAGUAUUAGGUGAAGUAACUGUUAUCUGACUAGUGUAAUUCUUCUUUCCUGUCUGCUUUUGUGGUACUCUGUGGUGACUAUCACCCGAUUUUUAGGAUAUAUUGGCAUUAAAUACUGUAUAAACUUCAAUUUCUAUUAGAAAUAUUUCCAUUUUUGACUUGUCCCCACACUUCUCCCAAGCACCAACAUAACGUUAUCCUUUGUCAAUACACAAUACAUAUAUGAGAGAUGAGUUAGUGAUUGUUUGGCAGCCCAUUGCGGUGAAAUGAAGCACUUUAUUAGUAGAGAGAAAAUUGCUUUCAUAUAAAAUUCAAAUAGUUUGGUAAAAUUUUCUAAAGGAAUUUAUGGAGAUACUCUAGUUAGUUUUUAAGAUUAAAUGUAGUUGUGCUUUCAAAAGCAUUAACUUUAGCUUCUCUAAAAAAACGCUUUUACAGCCAAAAUCUGCUACAAACACCUUUGUUAUGUUACUAAACACUUUCAAGCAAUUCUUUGAAUUAAAAGUGCUUUUCACUCACCCCACUGCUUUGCCAAAUGGGCAAUUAGUAUAGGUGAAAUCAUGGAAGACGUAUUUUGUUACUUUUUUUGUUCAUGUGUUAUUAGUAAGUCUGAUAUGAUUUUAAUUCAGAGAUGAUUGUAAAGCUGCCCAAAAGGCAAGUUUAUGUACUUUCUGAGUGAAUUGGGGUUUCCUGCAAAGAGGGGUACAAUUUUCUGAGAUUGUGAGAUUGAUUCCUGUGGGUGAGCCACGCAAAGUAUGUGUCUUGUGUAAUUGUUUUUUUCCCACUGUUUUUGUUGCAUUUUUAUUUUCCAACACUGUGAGUUCUUUUUUUUGCAUCGACAUGCGAUACGUGAAUAAUGAUAGUAUAUGCACAAAUCACAUAUCAUACGCAUGUAGCAAACACAUUUUCAUUGUCCUGUGGCUGUUUAUUUAUAAAAAACUGUUUUUGAAAUUUUAUUUAUUCAAAAGAGCUAUAACAGAAAUAUUUGUCUUCAAUGAUUCUCUGUUACUUCUUUCUCCUCUCCAAAAAACCUUUACUAUGCUUAAAGCUACUGAAUACAAAAAUAAAUGAAACGAAUAAUGUGUGUAACUAAAUUUAUUCCUGUAAAUUUUGGAAGCCUAAAUAUAUUUGUUGUAUUUAUUAUUUUCAAUUUCGCAUAUAGCUGCCUUCACAGUGUCUUUCGAUACCGUAAGACAUUAUGUAUUAUAUUUUCCCCUCAUAAUUACUAUGUGCUUACGUAAUAUUAAUAGUAAUGGAGCUUAAAUUUUGCAGAAAGUUCGUCGAAUAAAGGUGGAACAAGUGAGUCCCCUGAACAACUGGAAAACACUAGUAGUAGAGAGCUCCAUUCAAGUGAAAGAAAAUAUAGAGAAUGUAUUUUUGGUGAAGAAGCUCUGAAAAUAUCCCCCACUGAACCAUAUUGUCUGCGCCGUCCUAUUCGCAGGGGUCAUCUCAAUAUAUCUCAACAUUAUCCUAUGCAGCAGGUACUGUUAAAUAUGCCAAUUAUUAGUUUGUUCUCUUGCACGGGGAAGGGAUCAACACAGAUUCCUGAUGUAGUGCUUACUCAUUGAGGCUUUUCUUUUAAUAGUUUGUCUGCUCCUGUUAGAAGUAACCAUAUCUUCAGGAACAAGUUUAAAGAUCCUGCAAGACACUAAAAUUCUAUUUGGAAGUCUGCAUAACAUGAAAUUAAAAUUUUAGUAGACAUAAAUUUCUUCUCCUCCAUUAUUGUUGCACAACCAGAAAAAGGAAAGAAAUUGGUUUGCAUUAUAUUUAUUGCCAACUUAAAAACAAUUUUAGUGUUUUCUAGUUACUAAUAAGUAAUUUGGCUGUUAACACGUUAUCUGACCAUUCUGCAGGUACUUGAAGACCUGCAUGCUAUCUGGGACUGGAUUUUGAUUGAGAAACUGCAUAUUCCUCACAAUGAAAGAAACCUUUAUUCUGCUAUUCUUGUAGUGCCAGAAACUUUUGAUAAUCGUGGUAAUUACAUGCUUAUAGUUCACAUAUGUGCUUUUGCCUUCCUUUCAAUAAAUUUUAUGCUGUGUUUUCUCUUUUUGUCGUCUAUGUCAAGCCUUUGUAUAUGUCUUUCAAAGUGAGUGUUAGUUAGUUGGAUAAUAAUCUUAUCUGAGUAGUUUUCUUUUGUUCUUAUAAUUAGAAAUAAAGGAAAUAUUAUCUAUUGUACUACGGGAAUUGCGCUUCAGCACGGCAGUGGUCCACCAGGUGGGAAUAUUUCUCCUACAAUUUAGAUGAUUAUAAAUUUUCUAAGAUAACUAUCAUAUAAUUUUGUUAUUUGGGUGUUUGAUAUUUGAUGGAUAUAUAACUCAAGUCCUUUAAACCAAGCAUUUCUUUGUCAUCGUUCGCAUUUCUUUUGUAUAUAUAUAUAUACCAAAUAAGAAAACGUCAUAUAAACAUCACUUUUUAUAUGAUUAUAAUUUAUAAAACCAACUUGUAUGUAAUGCGUAAUAAAAGGUAUUGCCAGGAAUUAAGUCUUAAACAGGGUUUUUCUACCUACCACAGUAUCAUUAAUACUGGACCCUAUACGAGCUUUUAAAAACAAAGGAAACUAAACACAUGGUUGGUUCACCAUAGGUUUAUACUACUUACUAGUUUUCGUGUCAUCUGGUAGCAAAAACAAUCACCACUAAAUGCUGUUGAUGGUCGCAGAAGCAGUUAAAAUAUCUAGUCGGGCAUUGUAGAGUGAGCACCUCACCUGAGAAUGGGUG
Molecule: long non-coding RNA, 5749 nt
Filed under: Panax ginseng (ginseng)
Lineage: Eukaryota; Viridiplantae; Streptophyta; Magnoliopsida; Apiales; Araliaceae
Description: long non-coding RNA (PGIN_LNC017126)
Source: RNAcentral